Molecule: long non-coding RNA, 2092 nt
Organism: Ailuropoda melanoleuca (giant panda)
Lineage: Eukaryota; Metazoa; Chordata; Mammalia; Carnivora; Ursidae
Exons: 5
Source: RefSeq, a predicted model, not a curated record
CAGGUGGGAGCAUACCAUGUACUCUUCUGUACCUUGGUGUCUUUCAAUUAUGUAAUUUGGGAGACUUUCCAGACCAGAACGUGGAGAUCAACCUCAUUUCCAGUGCUGCAUGGUAUUUCAGGACAGCCUUCGCGGCAGCCGAAUGCAACUUUUACUAUCUCUGGAUGGGAGUCUGGUUUUGAAAUCCGAAGUCUGGGGAAAGUGUUGAGAAAUCAUGACUACACUCCUCGGCACUUUGCUGUGUUCCAUCCACCCCACUCCUCAGUCUCGGUAUGCAGCCUUUCCAUUGGGAAGAGCUCCAACCUAGAGCAUCCCCAUGGCUACAGGGGAAGAGGGAAGAAGAGAAGCAGGAGGGGCAGAAGGAAGAAGAAAGCAAAUACGCCUCUGCCCUGCAAGUGAGAUGAAGGUUUGGAUUGCACUGAGUGGGGGAGACAGCUCAUCACCAAGACCAGUGGUACUUGGGGCUUCAAGGUCACUGUUGCAUUUACAACUGGAGAGCCCAAGAGAAAAAAAAAAAAAUCAACUGAAGAGCUUGGAAUCACAAAACAUGUGGAAUGUUCAGAAUCGCAUGCUCCAUGGGCUGGAGCAUUUUUUCUUCUCUCUGACCAUCCAGCGAAAGAAGAGAAAUGAUCUGGAAACAAUGCCACGUGAAACUUGGUUUACUUAUGAGGCCAAAAGAGAAUUGCAUUUCUCGUUAUGUAAGAAACUAGAGCUUAAAGACCUGUUCAGGUUGUAGCCUAACAAGUGUGAAGAUUUUUCAGGGGCAGAAGGGGUAUAUUUGAGGGAGCCAUGCCUUAUUAGAGAGCCCUUUUCCUCUGUCCCUCAUAACCCGGAAAAGUACAUGCUGCUGGAAUUUCACCCCGAACAAACUACCACAUUUGACUAAGCCAACUCUCUCUCCACUCUUCCCGCCGGCCUGUCCAAGUAAGCUCAGUUUUCUCGUGCAACAUCACUCCAAGCCUUUUUUUUUUUUUUUUAUAGAAUCCGCCUAUUUUUUCACUUUUGUUUAUUUUUGCCCCAAAGCCUUUGGCAUUUCCCUCCAGUGAGUCACACUAUGGGACCAUUUCAAAAUGAUCUGACAGGAUGUUUCUCUUCCCAGGGAAGAUGGGAAAUGGGUAAAUGACAGCCUGUCCCAAGAUGUUACUGUGUUGUGUGCGGGGAUUUUAAUAAAGAUGCCAUCUCACUUGCCAUCAAAGCCACUUGAUGGAUGGACUUGCAGGGAGACAGUCUUCUAGAUCUUUCCCUGAUUCCACAGAGAUAAGAUGGGAAAACGAAAGCAAGGGUGUUAGGGGUUUAUUCGUAUCAGUUGACUAUGGGAAUCAGUCCUUUUACUUCCUCCGUUACAGAAGUUUAGGAUAGGCAUUUGAGAACUCAGAUUUUGCAACAAAAUUAUUGAACUAUCGGAGGUGGGAGGUUACAGAUAAGAGAAGGCAGACGCAGGGUGUGCUAGGACCCUCACCAUCCCCCGGGGCACUUAUGCUUAUUCUUCAAGCCUUUGCCUCUGGAAAGCCUCCAGCCUCCGCCCCCCACCCCGCCCCAGUGUGGAAAACUCCUUCUCCCCAGAAGUAGCCACUCCCUCUUCUCUGCUCCCAAAGGGCUUUGUACUUUCUUCUACUAGAGUACUUGGCACUCUGGGAUUAUGGUCAUGUAUACAGUGGUCACCCACCUUGCCCCCAUUUCGAGGGGCAGGGAAGUGGGCCAAAUUCAUCUUGUUAUCUUCGCCACCCAGAACAGGUCCUGUCGUAUAGAAGGUCUAAUAGGGCACAUCCUAAUAUAAGGUGGUGAGCGUGUAUGGGCCAGGGAUUCAGGGGCAUUUCUGUUCAUAAUGCUGACAUGGGUAUCUGGGUUUUCCUAAUCUCUUCAGACAACACCCCUCCUCCCCUGUCCUCAGUUCUCUCAGCCUCUUCUUUCCCUUUUCCGGAACCUUGAUUCAUGUCAGAAAAUAUAAAGUACCAGCAAAAAUUACUAGAUAUGCAGCAUUCUAAUAGCAAGAACCAUUACAGUAUGCAAGAAUACCAAACACAUCUGUGCAGGUCGCUGUGUUUCGGCCGGGGCUGCACACUUCCUGCGUGAUGAUGGCGUGGAACGGGCC